UUUUGUCACUCGCUUGUACGUAAUUUUCGGGAAACGCGAAUCUGUUUAAACGUCGGCGAAACACGCAGAUUCAUAAAACGAUUGGAGAUAUACGGCCGCCUACACGAGUAGUAAAUCCGAAGCUCGGCCGCCGGUGUACCAAGAGGUCAAAUUUUAUUGAUUAACCCGUAAAAUACUUUUGUUUGUGACAUGAAUUAUAUACGAUAAAUACGCAUAUAUUCUACACGAUAGUAGGAAAAACGUUUGAAAUUAAUCGCAAAUUGUUUUUUC
This is a non-coding RNA of Cinara cedri, 270 nucleotides long. The record is from the annotation of a GenBank genome assembly. NCBI's taxonomy places the organism in Eukaryota, Metazoa, Arthropoda, Insecta, Hemiptera, Aphididae.